This 253-nucleotide ribosomal RNA is filed under the name uncultured bacterium. Its description in RNAcentral is "partial 16S ribosomal RNA". It matches the Rfam family "Bacterial small subunit ribosomal RNA", at positions 524 to 776 of the family's 1533-position model. The record is from RNAcentral.
UACGUAGGGUGCAAGCGUUAAUCGGAAUUGCUGGGCGUAAAGCGUGCGCAGGCGGUUUUGUAAGUCUGAUGUGAAAUCCCCGGGCUCAACCUGGGAAUUGCGAUGGAGACUGCAAGGCUAGAAUCUGGCAGAGGGGGGUAGAAUUCCACGUGUAGCAGUGAAAUGCGUAGAGAUGUGGAGGAACACCGAUGGCGAAGGCAGCCCCCUGGGUCAAGAUUGACGCUCAUGCACGAAAGCGUGGGGAGCAAACAGG